UCAUGAAGGCAGUGGAAAUUAUUUGAAAAUACUUCACAGAUGUUUUCUUGAGCCGUUUGUACUCAUGUGGGCCUUUUUUUUCCCAGACAGAGGGAUGCUGACGGUCCAACAGGUCCUCCCCACGAUUUGUCUGCACCUUGGCUACAGAAAACCCACGCUGCUGUAACAGUGCCAAUAUGUGGAUGAAUAAUGAUCAUGUUUGCUGUUGGAAACCCAUCAUGGAGCUUUAAGACUCAUGUGUCUGCGUCGUUAUGUUUGACUUGUACUGUGACUGAAGAGGCAUCCAGGAGAACGGUCUGCUUCACUGGCAUCCUAACGUAAGUAACAACCUUCUGCACAGCCUCCUCUCUAGUGUAAUCUGUUGCUCUAGACGAAUACAUUAUGCUACAGUAUAUUUGCAGAUAUCGUGUGAUCAGUGGGACUCCUUGCCUUGAAAGUGUUUUAAAGGCGAGGCAGUCGCUGUAAAAGAGGACGCGUCUGGCCUUGACAAUUCGGCGUGUGUCUGAAUCAUUCACUUUUCAACGCGGAGCAGGUUUUUACAUCUUUUU
This 548-nucleotide long non-coding RNA is filed under the name Betta splendens (Siamese fighting fish). Its description in RNAcentral is "lncRNA (ENSBSLG00000007075.1)". Lineage: Eukaryota; Metazoa; Chordata; Actinopteri; Anabantiformes; Osphronemidae. The record is from RNAcentral.